Non-coding RNA from Podarcis lilfordi (Lilford's wall lizard), 73 nucleotides. NCBI's taxonomy places the organism in Eukaryota, Metazoa, Chordata, Lepidosauria, Squamata, Lacertidae. The record is from the annotation of a GenBank genome assembly.
CUUUUUUUAGCUCAGUUACUAGAGUAUGAGACUCUUAAUCUCAGGGUUGGGGGUUUGAGCCCCAUGUAAAAGA